Molecule: transfer RNA, 73 nt
Filed under: Strongylocentrotus purpuratus (purple sea urchin)
Lineage: Eukaryota; Metazoa; Echinodermata; Echinoidea; Camarodonta; Strongylocentrotidae
Rfam family: tRNA
About the family: Transfer RNA (tRNA) molecules are approximately 80 nucleotides in length.
Source: Rfam by way of RNAcentral
AGCAUGGUGGCUCAGUGGUUAGAGCACCCGCCUCAUGAACGGGAGGUCGUGGGUUCGAACCCCAGCCGAGUCA